This 375-nucleotide ribosomal RNA is filed under the name uncultured bacterium. RNAcentral describes it as "bacterial SSU rRNA". It matches the Rfam family "Bacterial small subunit ribosomal RNA", at positions 28 to 404 of the family's 1533-position model. The record is from RNAcentral.
GACGAACGCUGGCGGCGUGCUUAACACAUGCAAGUCGAGCGGUAAGGCCCUUUCGGGGGUACACGAGCGGCGAACGGGUGAGUAACACGUGGGUGACCUGCCCUCAGCUCUGGGAUAUGCCUGGGAAACCGGGUCUAAUACCGGAUAUGACUCCAUGACGCAUGUUGUGGGGUGGAAAGCCUUGUGCGGCUGAGGAUGGGCCCGCGGCCUAUCAGCUUGUUGGUGGGGNGAUGGCCUACCAAGGCGACGACGGGUAGCCGGCCUGAGAGGGCGACCGGCCACACUGGGACUGAGACACGGCCCAGACUCCUACGGGAGGCAGCAGUGGGGAAUCUUGCGCAAUGGGCGAAAGCCUGACGCAGCGACGCCGCGUGA